RNAcentral lists this ribosomal RNA (892 nucleotides) under uncultured archaeon. RNAcentral describes it as "bacterial SSU rRNA". It matches the Rfam family "Archaeal small subunit ribosomal RNA", at positions 26 to 893 of the family's 1478-position model. The record is from RNAcentral.
ACUGCUAUCGGGAUAGGACUAAGACAUGCUAGUCAAGCGCUUUCUAGCUAAUGUGAGAGCGCGGCAUACAGCUCAGUAACACGUGGCUAACCUGCCCUUGGGACGGAGACACUCCCGGGAAACUGGGGUUAAUUUCCGAUAGGUGAAAGAUUCUGGAAUGAAUUUUCGCUUAAAAGGCGUUUAUGUCAUGCUCAUAGGCGUUGCCCAGGGAUGGGGCCGCGACCGAUCAGGUUGUUGGUGAGGUAAUGGCUCACCAAGCCUUUUACCGGUACGGGCCGUGAGAGCGGGAGCCCGGAGAUGGGCACUGAGACAAGGGCCCAGGCCCUACGGGGCGCAGCAGUCGCGAAAACUUUGCAAUACACGAAAGUGUGACAAGGCUAUCCCGAGUGCCAUCCGCUGAGGAAGGCUUUUACCCAGUAUAAAUAGCUGGGAGAAUAAGGAGAGGGCAAGUCUGGUGUCAGCCGCCGCGGUAAUACCAGCUCUCCGAGUAGUGUGGAUGUUUAUUGGGCCUAAAGCAUCCGUAGCUUGCUAAGCAAGUCCCCUGUUAAAUCCACCGAUUCAAUCGGUGGAUUGCGGGGGAUACUGUUUGGCUAGGGGACGGGAGAGGCCGACGGUAUUUCCGGGGUAGGGGUGAAAUCCUAUAAUCCCGGGAAGACCACCAGUGGCGAAGGCUGUCGGCUAGAACGCGCCCGACGGUGAGGGAUGAAAGCUGGGGGAGCGAACCGGAUUAGAUACCCGGGUAGUCCCAGCUGUAAACGAUGCAGGCUAGGUGUUUGGGCGGCCACGAGCCGCUCUAGUGCCGCAGGGAAGCUGUUAAGCCUGCCGCCUGGGGAGUACGGCCGCAAGGCUGAAACUUAAAGGAAUUGGCGGGGGAGCACCACAAGGGGUGAAG